GUGAAGAAGCGCCUUCGGGUCGUAAAGCUCUGUGACUUGGGAAGAAUGUAUUGUGCUYUAUUACCCAUGAAUUUGACGGUCCCACUAAAGGAAGCACCGGCUAACUCCGUGCCAGCAGCCGCGGUAAUA
Molecule: ribosomal RNA, 129 nt
Filed under: uncultured bacterium
Lineage: Bacteria
Description: partial 16S ribosomal RNA
Rfam family: Bacterial small subunit ribosomal RNA
Source: RNAcentral